This 325-nucleotide long non-coding RNA is filed under the name Olea europaea (common olive). Its description in RNAcentral is "long non-coding RNA (OEUR_LNC011997)". Lineage: Eukaryota; Viridiplantae; Streptophyta; Magnoliopsida; Lamiales; Oleaceae. The record is from RNAcentral.
GUUAGGUUAUCACAUGGUCUAUAAUAAAGGGGCGAAAGAGGAAUAAAGCAUGCUGAAUUUCAGAGAAGUCUGGUGGAGAGAAUUGGCCUCUCGAAUGCCAAAUAUCCAAGUCUUUUUAUUCAUUGUUUUUGUAGUACAAUUUCAUAAAUUUACAGAUUGUGUUACUGUUUCCAUUUACUCACUACAUAAGCAAUUGUUCUCUAUCUUCAAUUCAAUAUAGAGUUAUGCUUUACAAUCAACAUCUCCCACCUACAUCCCUCCAUUACAAUAUUGUUGCCUAGCAAUUCUACUGAUCUGCUGAGUCACAGAUCCACAGAGCAGCAGA